CUGAAGAUCCCCUACGAUACUCUAGACGGGUCGACUGAGCAGGCCUGAAAGAACGACCUCUACCAUGCUGGAACUGGCCCCUCGAAGGAGCACCACUGUAGCCGCAUGAUCUUUGAGGCCUCUUAGCCUCACUCUCCUCUCGCUCUCUUCGCCAAACUAACUCGAACUCAAGAGCGAUAUCUACCACCUCCUUAAAUGUAGCACCC
RNAcentral lists this long non-coding RNA (206 nucleotides) under Nicotiana benthamiana. RNAcentral describes it as "long non-coding RNA (NBEN_LNC027426)". Lineage: Eukaryota; Viridiplantae; Streptophyta; Magnoliopsida; Solanales; Solanaceae. The record is from RNAcentral.